Molecule: ribosomal RNA, 468 nt
Filed under: uncultured bacterium
Lineage: Bacteria
Description: partial 16S ribosomal RNA
Rfam family: Bacterial small subunit ribosomal RNA
Source: RNAcentral
GACGAACGCUGGCGGCGUGCUUAACACAUGCAAGUCGAACGGAAAGGCCCUGCUUUCGUGGGGUGCUCGAGUGGCGAACGUGUGUAUAACAUGGGAGUAACCUGCCCAUGACUUUGUGAUAACUGCAGAAAACUGCUGCUAAUACCGAAGAGGAGCGCCAGCUGCAGGGUGGGGGUUGGAAAGUUUGGUCGGUGGGGGAUGGACUGGGGGCUUAUCAGCUGGUGGGUGGGGUAGUGGCUUAGCAGGGCUUUGACGGGUAGCCGGCAUGAGAGGGUGAACGGGCACCUUAGGACUGCGAUAGGGCGCAGACUGCUACGGGAGGCAGCAGUCGGGAGUCUUGCCCAAUGGGGGGGAGCGUGAUGAAGAAGCGCUCGGUGUGGGAUGCAGGCUUUAGGGGUGUGAACCGCAUUCGCCUGUGACGAAGCGUGAGUGACGUUAAUGGGUAAAGAAGCACCGGCUAACUACGUG